Stylophora pistillata is the source of this 248-nucleotide long non-coding RNA. NCBI's taxonomy places the organism in Eukaryota, Metazoa, Cnidaria, Anthozoa, Scleractinia, Pocilloporidae. The record is from RefSeq and is a predicted model, not a curated record.
GAAUUCGACUUUUAUCUUAGUUCUGUUACUUUGGUAUAUCAUGAUACCUGCUUCUGUCUCAUCGAAAGGAAUUUUCGAAUUUAAACCUCUUGCAUAUGGCAGUUGGCAGUACGGAUAAUUGCUACCGAGAAAUUAAAAUCAUGAUGGAAGGCAAAUGCCUAAGGGAGUUGAAACAGUCCGAAUAGGAACGCGAAUGGAUGGACAAAUGGAUAAAACCAUUUAGGAUGAUUAAAGAUUUAUGCGAAUAA